RNAcentral lists this ribosomal RNA (486 nucleotides) under uncultured bacterium. Its description in RNAcentral is "partial 16S ribosomal RNA". It matches the Rfam family "Bacterial small subunit ribosomal RNA", at positions 28 to 507 of the family's 1533-position model. The record is from RNAcentral.
GAUGAACGCUAGCGGCAGGCUUAACACAUGCAAGUCGAGGGGCAGCGCGGGAUAGCAUUCUCCUGGCGGCGACCGGCGGAAGGGUGCGUAACGCGUGAGCGACAUGCCCGUUGCACGGGGACAACCGGUGGAAACGCCGACUAAUCCCCGAUGGGAUCCGAUGCUUCAUGGCAUUGUAUUGAAAGUUACGGCGGCGACGGAUUGGCUCGCGUCCGAUUAGCUGGUUGGCGGGGUAACGGCCCACCAAGGCCGCGCUCGGUAGGGGUUCUGAGAGGAAGGCCCCCCUCGGUGGGACUGAGACACGGCCCAUACUCCUAAGGGAGGCAGCGGGGAGGAAUAGUGAUCAAUGGGCGGAAGCCUGAGCCAGCCAUGCCGCGUGCGGGAGGGAGGCCCUAUGGGCUGUGAUCCGCUUUUGCAUGAGGGCAAUAAGGGCGUCGCGCACGUGCGAUGAGGGUACCAGGCGAAUAAGCAUCGGCUAACUCCGUG